GUGCUUGCUUCGGCAGCACGUACACUAAAAUGGGAACGAUACAGGGAACGUUAGCAUGGCCCUUCGCAAGGAUGACAUGCAAAUUCGUGAAGCGUUCCUAUUUAAA
Molecule: small nuclear RNA, 106 nt
Organism: Camelus dromedarius (Arabian camel)
Lineage: Eukaryota; Metazoa; Chordata; Mammalia; Artiodactyla; Camelidae
Source: Ensembl